CAGGAGCACCGCGAAGGCACAUCCGCGGCCCACGAAGGAGACUGAGCUCAGACACUACGAAGCGCGCGAGCCCAGCUCGUUGCGGCACCCUCAGUGGGGGUAUAUGCAUAUACAUAAUUGUAUGAAGUCGCGCCUGGGUGUUUCGGCGCGGUGCAGCACUGCGCUGUGGCGACGAAGCCUCUGCUACGGCUGUCGUGAGAGCGUCAGCGUGCCAGCCGGCUCACUGUCCGUGUCAACAUCACAGACGCCGCUCACCACCACCCCCGCACCGCCUAACACGCCGCACUGCCACCGCGGCACGGGUGUUGGUGGAACCGCUAGCAGCAGCGGCGGUGGUGUGUCCUUGGGCGAUCUCGCCAAGGUGUUCCAGCAGCUGAGCUCGGACAACGCAGGGGGCGCUCAACAGGAUCAAGGCGGUCACAGUAGCCGCGGUGACGCAGCUGCGCCGAUGACAGCGACAACAAUAGCGGCGGCCGCCGCCGCGGCGUCGCCCUUAGGCACACCACAGGAGGUCAAUCGUGGCGGUAGCGCCGACGCGCCGCAAGGCAGGUCUGAACCAGCAUCGCAGUGGCGCUCGAUCAGCAGCGCAGGCGCCACCAGUGGAGGCACACCUGCGAGCUAUUACACGCCUCCCCAGCCGAGGAAGCAGCAGUGCGGGGAGGCGGCAGCGCAUCGGUCGCUGAUCAACCUCUCUCCUCUCUACGCGGCCCGACUGACCACCCUUACGGAGGCGCAGCUCUGCACCGAACUCGAGAGCCGUCUGGGCAGGCUCGACUACAGCGGCAUGAUGCAGUGCCUGCAUGAAGUGGUCCGUCGAUGGUCUCCUACGCCCACCACCUCCGCUGUGGCUGAUGGUGCCGCCGAUGGCGACGACAGCGACGCGUGUCGUGCGAAGAGGCGCAGACGCGCGGCAUGUAAACAGGCAUCGGAGGCCGAGGACGUGAUGCCGUCAGCGGCACGCACAUUCAUGGCGAAUCAGCGACUUCUCACCGCGGUGCUGAGCGUGCUCAAGCGGAUGGACCUGUGCGUCAUGGAAGCAGAGGUAAAAAGUUCACCGCAGAACACAUCUGCCGCAGCGGCAUCAGCGGGUGCGGCAGCAACGGCGACGCUCUGCACUGAUGGCAAGCCGCCUCAGCAGCAGCAGCAGCACCCUUGUGACCGUCUUUCGUUACCCGAAACGCCGUUUUAUGCGCGUCUCUCUCGCCUUCUGCUCCAGUGGCUCUCGCGCGAGGUGUCGCGCAUGGACGCUACGGCGUCGCUGCAGGUUCUCCACCUCCUCGCGCAGCAGAGGCUGUUGCACAUGGAAGCGGUUCUGAAGACGCUCGUAGACUCCAUUGUCGUCCACUUGGAACGGUGCGGCUCCGCGGAAGCCGCGACGCCGGGGCCAGAGUCCACCGCCCGGGCGUUUACGCUGGAGGAGUACAGCCUUCUCUUCGACACGCUGGCGCGCUUCCAGGCACAACUCCUGCGCCUUUCGUAUCUGCGGCAGUUCGCCACCCAAGAGCCCCAUGGCGUCCACCCCUCCGCUGCCGAACUGCGCGAUGGCACGAGUGUGGUCGACGCCGAAGGUACAGAGGCCACUGUCAUCGCCGCAGGCGCCACCGAUCCGUGUUUGGUGUCCGCCGCGGCAGCGGUGCGGCGCCGCGCGCUCGAGCAGAGCAACCACCCCGUGGCGAACGGCCGUCUGUUCCACCACCUGGCGGAGGCCCUGUCGCUGGCACUGAUGAACGGCCAGCAAGGGCAUCUCCCUGCAUCAAUGGCAGGCGCGGCAACGAACUCCAUCGACGCGGCAGACACGUCGGCCCGCAUGCUGAGAAUGAACGCCACCAGCUUCCUCUUCCUGACUCGGGCGCUGAGCAAGCUUCAGUGGUGGCACGACGGCCUCGCCGCCGCGCUCGCGGCGCCGCUGACGGGGUACGUCCGCGCCCACCCUGAGUCUGCCCUUGUGGUGGUGGGGCUUGUUGGCCGGCGCGAGAACCGCAGCGGCGAUGUUGCCUUGUUGGAGGUGCUGCAAGACAGCCUCAUCACGCUGCUGCUGCGUCGUCGCGGCGCGUUGAAGGCGCGUACGGAAAUGGGGCAGGCACCGCGGCAGGGCCGAGCGGCAGGGAUGAACGGCGACGCCGACGUGGAAGGCGGCACAAACGGCCUUGUUUCGCAGUGGGCCCAGGACGGCGGAGACGGUGCCACAGGCGAAUCGACGCAUCUCACCACGAGGGCGGGCACCGACGACGGCGAAGAUCACGAGGCGGUGUUGGCGGAGUGGGAAGAAGGUGGGGAAGUGGACUUGCGCCUGCUCUCCUUCUCUGCCUCCUACACCACGCCUGCGACUCACCGCCGAUCGCGCGGGUUUUUCGCCGCCUCUGUCUCCACAGCGUCAAGCACACCUUCGGUGGAGGCCUCGACGCCGUGCGGUGUCACCCCAGCCCCGCCACCGGAGCCGCCCGCCUCCAACUCUGCGGCGUCGCUCACUUUCAUUGACCUGCACGCCCUCCCUGGCACCGUAGAGGCGCUCUGCCGCUUUCACAUGCGCACAAUUGCGGCGGUGCCGCCCCCACGCGAGGCGGGAGCAGGGGCGGCGGGGACGUCAGGAGAGGACGUGCGUGCGCGGCUGGUGCGCAAGAUGCGGGAGCUGCUCGGCUUGAUGCUUGAUGACACCUCGCGCGGCAUCACGUCCCUCGACGCCGUCGCGCGUACCUUUGCGCCGGCGUUUCUGUCGCGGGCGCUGCUGACGCUGCUGGAGGCCACGGCGCAGCUGCCGCAAGCGUGGGGCACCAUCGGUGGGCCCGACGCGUCGUUGAUGCGCCGCGGCAAAUACACAAGCACUGCCACGGCCGAUAGCCCCCAUCACCCAUUCGUGAUCGAGCUGGCGUAUGCCUGGAUUCUGCAGGUGAUGCGGAGUCGCCGCCCGCCACGGCCGCCGCCCGCCUCCCAGACGGACGAGUACAGGGCAGCGGCGGCGGUGGCAUACCACCGAAUAGCAGCCUCAGCCUACUGGCGACGCGCCGUCGUCGUGCAUGAAGCGUUGGUGAAGGCUGGUCUUCUGUGCUGCACUCGCCCACACGCGGCGUACGCGAGCGACCCCGCCGCCGCUCUGAGAGGCAGGUACUACAUGCCAGACGACGUUCUACGUGCCGCGCCGCGGGUCAACGCAGCCGUACAGCUCGCCAAGACGCGGAUCGAAGCGAGGCGUCAGCUGGAGGCGGCUGAGAGGCCGGAAGUGGAAGAACAAGAGCAACAGAAAGCGGUAGCAUCGCGAUACGCAUCUGUAGCGAUUCGGGACUCUGCGCAGCAGCGGCGCGCCUCCGCGGCUUCGUCCUCCUCGCGUUCUCCCCAGCAUCAGUGUCUUCGUACAACGGCUGAGCAGCCAGCGCGGACGACUGAUGUCUUUGCCGGCUACACCAAAGCCGUCUCUCGCUUGCUGUAACUGGUGCACACGCGCCGUUGUUCUCGGGAGCACCUCCUCUGCCUGAAACGCACGU
This 3479-nucleotide unclassified non-coding RNA is filed under the name Leishmania donovani. Its description in RNAcentral is "gene:LdHU3.03.0790(CDS-product:hypothetical_prote in_conserved)". Lineage: Eukaryota; Euglenozoa; Kinetoplastea; Trypanosomatida; Trypanosomatidae. The record is from RNAcentral.